GACGAACGCUGGCGGCGUGCUUAACACAUGCAAGUCGAACGGAAAGGCCCUGCUUUUGUGGGGUGCUCGAGUGGCGAACGGGUGAGUAACACGUGAGUAACCUGCCCUUGACUUUGGGAUAACUUCAGGAAACUGGGGCUCAUACCGGAUAGGAGCUCCUGCUGCAUGGUGGGGGUUGGAAAGUUUCGGCGGUUGGGGAUGGACUCGCGGCUUAUCAGCUUGUUGGUGGGGUAGUGGCUUACCAAGGCUUUGACGGGUAGCCGGCCUGAGAGGGUGACCGGCCACAUUGGGACUGAGAUACGGCCCAGACUCCUACGGGAGGCAGCAGUGGGGAAUAUUGCACAAUGGGCGGAAGCCUGAUGCAGCAACGCCGCGUGCGGGAUGACGGCCGUCGGGUGGUAAACCGCUUUCGCCUGUGACGAAGCGUGAGUGACGGUAAUGGGUAAAGAAGCACCGGCUAACUACGUG
Molecule: ribosomal RNA, 468 nt
Filed under: uncultured bacterium
Lineage: Bacteria
Description: partial 16S ribosomal RNA
Rfam family: Bacterial small subunit ribosomal RNA
Source: RNAcentral